CCUUCGGGUCGUAAACUCCUUUCGACCGAGAAGAAUGGCUCUCAACCUAAUACGUCGAGAGCAUGACGGUACCGAGGGAAGAAGCCCCGGCUAACUCCGUGC
This 102-nucleotide ribosomal RNA is filed under the name uncultured bacterium. Its description in RNAcentral is "partial 16S ribosomal RNA". The record is from RNAcentral.